UUAUAUAUGUCUGUGAAGAUGCCAGACGCCCUGGAAUUGGAGCUGCAGAUAGCUGUGAGCCACCAUGUAGGGACUGGGAAUUGAACCAGGGUCCUCUGGAGGAACAACAGUGCUCUUAACCUCUGCGCCAUCUUCAGCCCUGAUAGUGUUACUUCUUUGGACUACUCUGUUUAGAGCCACCUCAGGUGCUGAGGGCCAGCCGCCAUCAGCUUGAGGGGGUGAAUCCGGCAAAUGACAUGAAGGUUCUUCACGGCAGAAUCACUGCAGGGAAGCUUCAAAGGACUCCAUCUGCAGAUGUUCUGAAAAUCUCUGAGUCUAGAAAUUGAUUAUUCAACCAGGAUACCUAACUCAAGAAACUCUGAAGACUGAGGCAUUUUGUCAGCUUC
This 386-nucleotide long non-coding RNA is filed under the name Meriones unguiculatus (Mongolian gerbil). Its description in RNAcentral is "lncRNA (ENSMUGG00000020930.1)". The record is from RNAcentral. Lineage: Eukaryota; Metazoa; Chordata; Mammalia; Rodentia; Muridae.